RNAcentral lists this long non-coding RNA (1104 nucleotides) under Sparus aurata (gilthead seabream). RNAcentral's name for it is "lncRNA (ENSSAUG00010016048.1)". The record is from RNAcentral. Lineage: Eukaryota; Metazoa; Chordata; Actinopteri; Spariformes; Sparidae.
AUGCCACGUCACACCACCAAAAUCUGCAAUGUUACAUCACAACACCACACCAUGGCAUGUCACGUCACACAACCACACUCUGGCAUGUCACAUCACACCAGCAAACUCUGGCAUGUCACGUCACACCACCAUAUUCUGGCAUGUCAUGUCACACCACCGCAAUCUGACAUGUCAUGCCACUCCACCAAAAUCUGCAAUGUUACGUCACACAACCACACCCUGGCAUGUCACGUCACACCACCCCACUCUGGCAUGUCACGUUACACCAGCACACUCGGGUAUGUCAUGUCACACCACCACACUCUGGCAUGUCAUGUUACACCAGCACACUCUGACAUGUCAAGUCAUACCACCACACUCUGCCAUGUCACGUCACACCACCACACUCUGGCAUGUCACGUGAUACAAACACACCACACUCUUUCGUUUCACAUCACACCACCACACUCUGACAUGUCACGUCACACCACCAUACUAUGGCAUGUCCCGUUGGAGUCAUGUACUCAUGUCACGUCAGACCACCACACUGACAUUUCACGUCACACCACCACACUCUUACACGUCACCUCACACAACCACACUCUGACAUGUCACAUCACACCAGCACACUCUGGCAGGUCAUGUAACUCUGGCAUGUCUCGUCACACCACCACACUCUGGGUCACACCAGCACAUUCUGGCAUGUCACGUCACUCUGGCAGGUCACACAAGCACACUCUGGCAUGUCACUUCACGCCACCACACUCUGGGUCACACCACCAUACUCUGCCAUGUUGUAUCAAACCACCACACUCUUGCAUUUCACGUCACACCACCACACUCUGGCAUGUGACGUCACACCGCCACACUCUGGCAUAUCACGUCACACAACCAGACGCUAUCAUGUCACAUCACACCACCACACGCUGGCAUGUCACUUCACACCACCACACUCUGACAUGUUACCUCAAACAACCACACUCUCGCUUGUCACGUUGUGUUGUGACAUGCCACACUUCUAGAUUGUCGUGUCACACCACCGUACUCUGGCAUGUCACGUCACAACACCACACUCUGGGCACUCCACUACACUCUGGCAUGUCACGUUACACCAGCACACUCUGA